This 814-nucleotide ribosomal RNA is filed under the name Tsukamurella pseudospumae. RNAcentral's name for it is "bacterial SSU rRNA". It matches the Rfam family "Bacterial small subunit ribosomal RNA", at positions 67 to 896 of the family's 1533-position model. Lineage: Bacteria; Bacillati; Actinomycetota; Actinomycetes; Mycobacteriales; Tsukamurellaceae. The record is from RNAcentral.
CGGUAAGGCCCUUCGGGGUACACGAGUGGCGAACGGGUGAGUAACACGUGGGUGACCUGCCCUGUACUUCGGGAUAAGCCUGGGAAACUGGGUCUAAUACCGGAUAUGACCUUCCCCUGCAUGGGGGUUGGUGGAAAGCUUUUGCGGUACAGGAUGGGCCCGCGGCCUAUCAGCUUGUUGGUGGGGUAAUGGCCUACCAAGGCGACGACGGGUAGCCGGCCUGAGAGGGCGACCGGCCACACUGGGACUGAGACACGGCCCAGACUCCUACGGGAGGCAGCAGUGGGGAAUAUUGCACAAUGGGCGGAAGCCUGAUGCAGCGACGCCGCGUGAGGGAUGACGGCCUUCGGGUUGUAAACCUCUUUCAGUAGGGACGAAGCGCAAGUGACGGUACCUACAGAAGAAGCACCGGCCAACUACGUGCCAGCAGCCGCGGUAAUACGUAGGGUGCGAGCGUUGUCCGGAUUUACUGGGCGUAAAGAGCUCGUAGGCGGUUUGUCACGUCGUCUGUGAAAACCCGAGGCUUAACCUCGGGCCUGCAGGCGAUACGGGCAGACUUGAGUACUGUAGGGGAGACUGGAAUUCCUGGUGUAGCGGUGGAAUGCGCAGAUAUCAGGAGGAACACCGGUGGCGAAGGCGGGUCUCUGGGCAGUAACUGACGCUGAGGAGCGAAAGCGUGGGUAGCGAACAGGAUUAGAUACCCUGGUAGUCCACGCCGUAAACGGUGGGUACUAGGUGUGGGUUUCCUUCCACGGGAUCCGUGCCGUAGCUAACGCAUUAAGUACCCCGCCUGGGGAGUACGGCCGCAAGGCUU